Long non-coding RNA from Helianthus annuus (common sunflower), 2113 nucleotides. RefSeq lists it as uncharacterized. The record is from RefSeq and is a predicted model, not a curated record. The transcript has 7 exons. NCBI's taxonomy places the organism in Eukaryota, Viridiplantae, Streptophyta, Magnoliopsida, Asterales, Asteraceae.
UAAGCCAUUUUAGAGGGGUUUCACCCAAAAUUUUAAGACACCAUAGGGGUAAUAAGGGGAUUUCAGCCUACAUAUUGAAUGCUUCCGUUUCUAAUGAUUCAUGUUCUGGUUCCUCAUCGGCCAUUAUGAAAGAAAACCAUAAGACAGAAAUCCUACCUUCAUCGGCCGUGAAACCAUCCAUCAUCUAUCCGGCCACUUUUUCUGAUUCCGAUGGCUCUGCAUAUCGCCAAACGCCUCCUCCGUACCCGCGCCACAACCCCUGUCGUCGCGCUUUUCUCAGCCGUUGAUCGGAGCUUUUCCUCCACCUCUUCCGAUCUGAUUCGCGCCAUUCUCUUUCCCUGCGACGGCAUCGGUCCAAAGAUCGCUGAAUCCGUCAAACAGGUUCUAGGUCUUGAAACUGAAAUCGGAAUGUUGAAAUCGCUAGAUCUUCAGUCACUGGCUAGGCUUCCAUGGGUGAGGUUGUGAUGUAUGUUUCUUGCUAAUUAACGUUACAUAUAGUUGGUUUGGUAUUUGUUUGGUUUGAUUUGAAUUGAUAGAUAUGUGCUUGUUUUCUCAGUCACUCGGAUUAAAAUGCAGAUUGGAGCAUGGCACCAGACCAGAGUGUCGUUUAGUGUUGCUAGGACUGGUGAAAACGCGAUACCAUCACCAGCAGAUUUACGUACAUCUGCCAAUUUCUUGGCUAGAUCAUAAUAUUCAUUUUGUUUUAACAAUUGACUAACACCAGCCAGGCUCUCCGAAGCCGGAAAGCUUACAUCCGAACGUGUCUGCGGCUGUAAAUGGUGUCGCUCUUGUUGGAACCCUAUCUGACCAAUUGUUCUUCGGGUGGCUCGGUGAUAAACUGGGUAAGCAGAAGGUUUACGGCAUCCGACCAAUCAUCUUUUACUUUCAUUCUUGAUGAUCCUACUGGCAACAUCUUUUACUCUUUCCUGUCACACCGUUGCAUUUGAUAAGACUAGGACAUUGAGGACAGGGGAGUUUAUGUGCAAAGCGAUUGAGCCCAUACACGGACAUGAAGCUACUGCUUUUUGUUGCGUUACGACGUGUGAGAAAGAAGCUCUUGCUGUUGCUGCUGCUAUGGAAAAAGGCACCACCCACCCGAUCGGAAGUCAAUGUCUACUUGAUCUUUAUCAGGGUAAUAUGUGAUCUUCAGUCUUCUAAUGGUAUACACCCUUCCCUUAAUAGAGUAUGGGUGUAAAUGCGCCGAGCUACUCAAACUUGGCUCGAAAACAAGCUUGAAACGAGCCGAGCUUAAACGAGCUCGAGUGCAAACCUAAAAACAAGCUCGUUAUGUGUUCACACAGGACCAGCAAGUGAUGGAGCUCUAUUUGUAUUGCGAUUUCUCUAAAGAAAAUAUGAUUUCAAGUCAGAUGAGGAGAGCCAAAUUGCGUACUUAACUUUAGCGAGCCAAUGAGUGAGUUGCCAUAAUUCUCAAAAUUAUGCUACAGAUGCAGUGAGAGAAGCCUUUUUUAUGCAAGAUUCGUUCGAAGAUAACAAGUCAAAGAUUCUUAUGAUAUUAUGUGCAAGCCCGGAUCCAAAGGAAAUGCAUAAGACAAUAUCGACAUUGGAAUACGGUGCAAAAGCCAAAUGCAUCGUGCGUGGGCCUCAUACGCCAAUUAAGGGAGACGGUUCAUCUUCGUCAGAUGUGAUGUUGGGUUUGAGAAUCGCGACUACUUAGGUGAGUUCGUUCAGAUUUUACGGUAACAUUACUGGUUUACGGUAACAUAACGGUUUCAUACAAUGGAUAAUGUCAGACUUAAGUAAAAAACUGUCGACGGUAACAUUACUGGUCCAGUUGAGCGUUCUUGAGAUGCUUACAUUAGGGCAAACCAUGUCGGCCACUAUGUGAGUUCGGCCAGAUUUAAAGAACAAUUCAUUCUUUUGAAAAAGCUGAUUGGCCAAGGCUUAAUGUCCUUUUUGAUAAAAGUUUUCAUCAUUUGCUUUAGACGAAGGAAGAGAGGGUUCAAAAUUUGUAUCUUACCAAGUUUUAUCUGAGUUUCAUGGUAGAGAUAAAUGGACGUAUAUCAUUGAAGUAUAUUAUUUGAGAACGGGAUUGGAUCGAAGUAUAUGGACAUGUACAAAUUUAUGCUCCCUAAUAUCAUUUAUGACAAUAACG